GACCGUCGAAAGGGCUCUACAACGAGCUAGCACUCGUGAGGAGUCGAUCAUAUCGGAAGCUUCGUGUGGAUGAUCCGCAGAGGUCAGACAUGCUGGUAACUGUAUCACGAUGAUCAGACUCUCCCGACGGUAAUCAGAUUACGGUGAUCUACUACCCGCACAAAGGUAUUGUAUUCUGAACACAUUACAGUAAAGUGUUUACUGUUCAAAUUCGAAUUUCAAAUUUAAAUGCAUGCAUGCUAUAUAUCAUAUUU
This 254-nucleotide long non-coding RNA is filed under the name Elaeis guineensis (African oil palm). RNAcentral's name for it is "long non-coding RNA (EGUI_LNC070298)". Lineage: Eukaryota; Viridiplantae; Streptophyta; Magnoliopsida; Arecales; Arecaceae. The record is from RNAcentral.